UCUGGCAUUGUGAAGAGACAUGAGAGGUGUAGGAUAAGUGGGAGGCUUCGGCCGCCGGUGAAAUACCACUACUCUUAUCGUUUUUUCACUUACCCGGUGAGGUGGGAGGGCGAGCCUGUAGUGGGCUCUCGGUUCUGGCAUCAAGCGCCCCACCCGUGCGGCCGGUGCCCUGCGGUUCUCUGACCCUCCAGGGUCGAGAGGGGGCCAACCGGUCCUCCGGGGCCGGCCAGG
Molecule: non-coding RNA, 231 nt
Filed under: Poecilia formosa (Amazon molly)
Lineage: Eukaryota; Metazoa; Chordata; Actinopteri; Cyprinodontiformes; Poeciliidae
Description: Eukaryotic large subunit ribosomal RNA
Rfam family: Eukaryotic large subunit ribosomal RNA
Source: Rfam by way of RNAcentral